GUAUGGGUCCUGAUAACCCCUGCCAUAGAAGAUGGUCCACUUUGGUGAGGUCUUUGCUGCUCUCUCUUUCAAGUGGCAGUGCCUGAAAUAAUGAACAGAAAAUCUUCCUGAAUCUUGCAUCAUCGUUGUCCAUAAACAGCGAGCCAUCUCCUUGGCCCUUCUCCUUGGGGGUCCAAGAUAGAGUCCAGCGGCUUGAGGUUAUAGUUGCAGUCCCAGGAUGAUAUAGUAGCAUUCCUGGCAGUCUGCUCAUAACCUGCAGUCCUGAUACCAUCAUCAGGUUAUAGAGAGUGACCACCAGGCUGGGCAGUACGUCCUGCUUCCUGAUCAUGGGUACAGCCACUCCUUAUUCUCUAGUUAUUGAGAGAGGCCCUAAAGAUUAGAAUUCAUUAACAACAUGGAAAAUCUAUAAGUCCACCUCUGACCACAGCUGACAUCUUUCUGGAGGGUAUGUUUGUACUUUGCCAAGCAGAUCCUCAAAGCUUCUCUGUCACAGAAUGUUCGAAGGCUAUUAGCCACGAGCUUUCAUUAGCCUAGCAUUCCUACAAAAGACCUUGGAAUCAGUUCAGAGUUUGGGUUUAUUCAGAUGGUGAUAUGCCAGUAGACAGACGAAGUACAGUGAGAGGGAUGGUGGGUGUGGAAGUGAAGACAGAUAGUAGGAGGGGACAAGAGGAGCCUUUGGGGGAAAAUAUCCAGUAGUAAACUAUCUGGCAGACUCAGCAACAGUGCUUGAGUGGUUUAUUUUACAAUGUGAGGCUGCAGCAGAGAAGUAAGAGAACAGAAUGAAUUGCCACUGGGGGGGCUAUUUCUCUAUUGUGAGAACUUCUCUUUGAAAGAGCUGGACCCAGGGAGAGGACGAUGCUUUCCAGUUGGCAAAGAAAGUCAACACUGGGGAUCAGGACGCAUGUUGCAGAGAGUGAGGAUAUCAGACAGGAGAUAGCCAACGGGAGCAUGAAAGGUGUCCCAGGGUAGCACAGGUCAGGUCCUGAUCUGCACAACCCUGGGCACACCUUAGCAGAGGCAGCCAAGCACCAUUUAAACUCCAGGGACCUAGAGUCAGGAAGGAAGAGCUCUGGCAGCUGGAGGGAAGGUCAGUGCCCAGGAGAUCACAUUGGAGUCAUUGUCACCCUGAGUGUCUCCUAUCAUGGCUAUUGGCACAUGUUUAAUGGGCAGAUGGCUUUCCUGAAGGCUAGGCAUUUGCUAGUGCAAAGCAUUAAUGAGCUGACCCCGCACACAACACACUUUCUGUUUCCUGGAAAAUUCCAGAUAAACACAAGAAGAAAGGGCCUGAGACUUUGUCACUUGGUAAAUUGAGUCUCUUUAUCAAUUUAUCAAAUAUAAGUUUCAAAAUAACCACACAUGAGAUACCACUGGUGGGCCUCGGGGAAACAGCGGGUGACAAUCUGAGUGCCUUCACACUAAGAAUUCUCCAGGAAGAACCACCUUUACUGAGUUUUGCCUGGCUCCCUCCACACCAAGAAAUAACCAGCAAUAUGGCCCUAGCUGCUGUCUGUCAUGAAGAGGUGCUAUUUGCUCCCACCAGCAUGUCCUAGCACAUGUGGCAGGGAUGAAGGUGGCUUCAUUGUUCCUGUUGGCCAGCCAGCAGAGGGAGUGAGAAUGACAAAGUUCAUACCUUCUAAAUUAUCAUUAUGUUAUUAUUUUAUAUCGAUACAUAAAAAUAAUGAUUAUGAAAAUAUCUUUACCAAUUUCUGUGUUUAUAAAGGUAAUUCAUGCUUAUUUUUAAUGUAAUAAAAAUAUCAACGGUAAAGAGCUGAAGGUUUCCAGUUACCCCCUUCCCAAUAAAAAUUGUUUAACAGUUUGGUUUACAUCCUUGCAGAAUUUUUUCUAAAUAAAAUAGUUCAAUAAUUUUCAAUGGCUAACAUCAUAAUGUACUUACCUAGAGGCCAAGCAUUGUGCUAAGAACUUUUCAAGCAUGACUUUAUUUAAUCUUCUCAACAACCUUGCCCAGAUGCCCUGAGUCAGGGUUAUUAUCUCAGAUAAUGAAGAAUGAUUAAAGCUACCAUUGAAGUGCCCAUGGUGUUAGCUUCACAGCUUCUGGAUAUAUGGACCCACACAAUUCCCAAAAGAUGUAGAAAUUGACCACACAGAAGGACUAGGACAAAAACUUUCACUCUAUAAAGAAAUCCAAGCCCUUGCCUUAUUGCUAGAAAACCAAGGUAUUUGCCUCUGAUCCUUUAAGCUAGUGUUUCAUGAAGUGAGCUGACAGACCUUGAAUGGGAAUAACCUUUGGUGCUCGUUAAAAUGUAGCUUUCUGAGCAUGUACAAAAGCUACAGCAUCAGAAAUCCCUGUGUUUGUGGCCUGGCAAUCUGUAUUUUAACAACUUCCCAGGAAAUCCCACAGGUCUGCCUUGUACUAGACCAUCGUCUUCUCUCAUUGCUGUCAAUUCACUCCCUUCGGUACUCCUGUAUUACUGGUACCCUGGCUGCCUGUCGCUCCCUGGCCUUGAUUCCCUGGAUCUAGACCUCAGCUUUGCCAUCUGAGGCCCAGGAUUUCUGGGUUUUACACUUUUCAUUUUUCAUAUGUUUUACAUCACUGCUUGACUUUUGGCGGGGGAGAGGGCCAGGGAUCUGUUAAGCAUUGUCCAUAGCUCUUAGUUCAGCCUCUGUCUCUCCAAUACUCCUUUGUCCUCAGCCCACCCACCAAGAGAAGAAGCAUAAAGAAUGGGGAGGAUUCUACCAAUGCUUUUCUUGCCCAGAUAGAUCCACUCUCUAAGUCACAUUCCUCUCCCGACAUGUGACUGUGGUUCUGCCCCCACCUUUCCCCAUCCCUUUUCAGGUAUAAAAAAACAAAAGCAAGCAAACCAUUAAGUAAAUUCUAUUUAAAAUUAUCUUUUGUUUUCUUUUAGUUUACAAACUGUUAGGAAGAUGUGUCAAACCUCUAGAAAAAGCUUUCCUGUCUUUCUGUGGAAGGAUCCAUUCAACACCAGUGUUUAUUUAAAAGAAUGCCAAUUGUGUUUUGCAAAUUUCAAAUUGGCCUUAUUUUUAAAGUCUUUCUAAGAAAAACUAUCAUCAAUUAUCUUUUC
This 3041-nucleotide long non-coding RNA is filed under the name Sus scrofa (pig). RNAcentral's name for it is "lncRNA (ENSSSCG00000052476.1)". Lineage: Eukaryota; Metazoa; Chordata; Mammalia; Artiodactyla; Suidae. The record is from RNAcentral.